This 403-nucleotide ribosomal RNA is filed under the name bacterium. RNAcentral's name for it is "partial 16S ribosomal RNA". It matches the Rfam family "Bacterial small subunit ribosomal RNA", at positions 355 to 776 of the family's 1533-position model. The record is from RNAcentral.
UGGGGAAUAUUGCACAAUGGGGGAAACCCUGAUGCAGCGACGCCGCGUGAACGAAGAAGGUAUUCGUAUCGUAAAGUUCUGUCCUAUGGGAAGAUAAUGACAGUACCAUAGCAGCAAGCUCCGGCUAAAUACGUGCCAGCAGCCGCGGUAAUACGUAUGGAGCGAGCGUUGUCCGGAAUUAUUGGGCGUAAAGGGUACGCAGGCGGUUUAAUAAGUCGAAUGUUAAAGAUCGGGGCUCAACCCCGCAAAGCAUUGGAAACUGAUAAACUUGAGUAGUGGAGAGGAAAGUGGAAUUCCUAGUGUAGUGGUGAAAUACGUAGAUAUUAGGAGGAAUACCAGUAGCGAAGGCGACUUUCUGGACACAAACUGACGCUGAGGUACGAAAGCGUGGGGAGCAAACAGG